Molecule: long non-coding RNA, 631 nt
Organism: Ornithodoros turicata
Lineage: Eukaryota; Metazoa; Arthropoda; Arachnida; Ixodida; Argasidae
Exons: 2
Source: RefSeq, a predicted model, not a curated record
CGCCCCCUGUUUACUUCCUUAGGAAAGUAUUUAAGAAGCGAGCAGUGCUGCUCGCUGCGUCUUCUGCCCGUGGUAUUCACGCAGCGGUGGCUUCCAGGACGGUGCUGUCAAGUGGGAACGUUGACAUCGCAGGUUCUUCUGGCGGUGACCCCAUCCCUCCGAGCCUGCACAGACUUGUACAGCUGAGGAGCGCAGUGCCCCUUAUUCAUCAAGGGGCCCACCUUGCCAGCAGUCUGCAUAGUCAGCGUUUGCAGCGUCACGACAUUUCAUCGAUGGUCCUACCAACAGUCGGGAGAAGCUUCGCCCGAAGACGCUCCAGCAGUCAUCCAGUGUGGCCGCCGGAUUGCCCCCCGACUUAUACGCUGACCCUCGUGACAGUGAAGAUGCUCCUAGACCAUCCUGAUUUGCCGGAUAUCUGACUCUUUUUGUGGUGAGAGUUGUGGGGCGAUUAUGAAGGACUGUUAUUGUCAUCGAUACGGAUGUAGCACCCCUGUCACGAGUGUUGACACGUCCUCUGUUUACUUGCUUGGGAAGGGAUUUCUUGUGCUGUUCACGGAGCGGUGGCUUCCGGACUGUGCUGUGGGAGCGUUGACAUGUAAGAAAAUAAACUUGUUCUUUGUGUGUUCGCUGC